This 597-nucleotide ribosomal RNA is filed under the name Cadophora africana. Its description in RNAcentral is "partial large subunit ribosomal RNA". It matches the Rfam family "Eukaryotic large subunit ribosomal RNA", at positions 46 to 657 of the family's 3401-position model. The record is from RNAcentral. Lineage: Eukaryota; Fungi; Ascomycota; Leotiomycetes; Helotiales; Ploettnerulaceae.
AUAAGCGGAGGAAAAGAAACCAACAGGGAUUACCUCAGUAACGGCGAGUGAAGCGGUAACAGCUCAAAUUUGAAAGCUAGCUCUUCUAGGGUUCGCAUUGUAAUUUGUAGAAGAUGCUUCGGGUGUGGCCCCGGUCUAAGUUCCUUGGAACAGGACGUCAUAGAGGGUGAGAAUCCCGUAUGUGACUGGGUGCUUUCGCUCAUGUGAAGCUCUUUCGACGAGUCGAGUUGUUUGGGAAUGCAGCUCAAAAUGGGUGGUAAAUUUCAUCUAAAGCUAAAUAUUGGCCAGAGACCGAUAGCGCACAAGUAGAGUGAUCGAAAGAUGAAAAGCACUUUGGAAAGAGAGUUAAACAGUACGUGAAAUUGUUGAAAGGGAAGCGCUUGCAACCAGACUUGCGCGCUGAUGAUCAUCCGGGCUUCUGCCCGGUGCACUCGUCUGCGCUCAGGCCAGCAUCGGUUUCGGUGGUGGGAUAAAGGCCUUGGGAAUGUAGCUUCUUUCGGGGAGUGUUAUAGCCCUCGGUGCAAUGCCGCCUACCGGGACCGAGGACCGCGCUUCGGCUAGGAUGCUGGCGUAAUGGUUGUAAGCGACCCGUCUUGA